This 1298-nucleotide long non-coding RNA is filed under the name Neodiprion lecontei (redheaded pine sawfly). RNAcentral's name for it is "uncharacterized LOC124292737, transcript variant X2". The record is from RNAcentral. Lineage: Eukaryota; Metazoa; Arthropoda; Insecta; Hymenoptera; Diprionidae.
GUUCCGUAGUUUCUACGCUCCAGGACCACUACCUGGUGAAACUCGACUUCCAGGACAAGUGUUCCAUAGCUUCUGCGCUCCAGAUCCGCUACCUGGUAAAAUUCGAUUUCCAGGACGAGCGCUCCGUAGUUCUGGCUGUCGAGGUCCUCCACCUGGUAUAUCUUGACAUCCAGGAAAAGCGCUCUCUAGUUCUGACUGUCAUGAUUCUUGACCUGGUGACUUUUGAACAAGGGCUCCGUAGUUUCUACGCUCUAGGUCCGCUACCUGGUGAAACUUGACUCCAGGGACAAUUGCUUCAUAGUUUCUACGCUCCAGGUCCUCUACCUGAUAAAACUUGACUUCCAGGACAAGCACUCCGUGGUUUCUGCGCUCCAGGUCCACUACUCGGCGAAACUCGACUUCAAGAAGAGGACGAGGAGGACGAGGAGGUGGAGAAAGACAUGUAGAACAAGGAGGACGAGGUGGAUUUUCGCGCAAGCCCUGAUUCGGUAUAACCCGAAGUGGUUAGCGGUGGUCGUUGGAGGUGGUUGGCGGCGGUUGCGGGUGAUCAAGAUGGACGAGGUGGAGGACGAGGACGACGAGGACAACAAGGUGGACGAGGAGGACAAGGAUUUGUGCACGGAUUCGAGUUAUAACUCGAGGUGGUUAGCGGUCGUCGUUGGAGGUGAUCGGAGGUGGUUAGGGGUGGUUGCGGGUGAUCGAGGUGGAGGCCGAGGAGAAGAAGGACGAGGAUGACGAGGAUUUGUGUACGGAUUUGAGUUACAACCCGACGUGGUUAGUGGUGGUCGUUGGAUGUGAUCGGAGGUGGUUAGGGGUAGUUGCGGGUGAUCAAGGUGGACGAGAUGGAGGCCGAGGAGAAGGAGGACGAGGAUGACGAGGAUUUGUGUACUAUAAAUAUACCACUUAUAUAAUAUUCAACAGAGUGGGAGUAGGAGUAGGAGUACGAGUAGAAAAAGGAGUAGGAUCGGGAGUAGGAGUAGGAAUAGCAGUAGGAGUAGAUGUAGGAGUAGAAUUAGGAUCGGGAGUGAGAUCAGAAGUAGGAGUAGAAAUAGGAGUAGGAGGAUAAUCUAAAAAGAGGGAUACAAUAUCAAAUAAUCACGACCAGCUAGUUAUAAGUAUCGUUUAGAAUAGAAUAACACACGAUUUGCUCAAACACGCAAACGGUCAAAUAUAGUGAUUCUGCAGCUUCUCUGCAUUUGAAUUUAAAUUUGUCCGUCAGCGUGCACUGUUGUAUAAACUCAAACACUUUAUAAAUUGUUACUUUCUAUAUCUAAGUCAUCAUCGUCAUUCAUUGUUAC